This is a non-coding RNA of Danio rerio (zebrafish), 986 nucleotides long. The record is from RefSeq and is a predicted model, not a curated record. NCBI's taxonomy places the organism in Eukaryota, Metazoa, Chordata, Actinopteri, Cypriniformes, Danionidae.
ACUAUUAUAAUAUUAAUAAAUGCAAUAUCUUAUUUUGUGUUCAACAUAACAAAACAGCUCUGCUUUGGAACAUGUCAAGAAUGGGUAAAUAUUGAAUGGAUAAAAUAUUUUCAUUUUUGGGUGAACUUUUAGGUAGCCUCACCUUUGGAUGAAAUUCAAAAAACAUGUAUAUUUAUUAAAACGGUCGUUUUCCGUCGUAAAACGAAUCAAAGAAAUAUAGCCUAUUGUUAUUUAGUUAAAAUGGUUUUCUCUUAUAGAUUUAUAUUUAUUACUGAAUGUUGACAAAGCAGUUUAGUUCUCCACGUAUAGCCUGUAUCAAAUCAAGGCAGUGGUGAUACCCAAGCGCGCUGGUUACACCCGGCUGAGGAAGACUGAUUUACGGUCAUUUAUUUGCAGAAACCUUAAGCCUAUUUUAACAGAGAUGCCGAAUGCGGUGACUGAGGCGAUGAUUGAGUCGUAUGCGCUGAUGUUUUUGGUGAUGUCAGCGUUUUUCGUGUACUUUUGCGGCAUGGUCUGGGCUUUCUGCAACCCGAAACUCAGCGGCUCCUCUGAAGACCCAGAGUGCGACACGAGCAGCGUCUCUCAAGUCCCUCUGCAACAAAUCUUCGCGGAUCCUGAAGAUCUGGAGACAAGUUAUCCGACACACACUCGACGUUUAAUGGAUCAGCCGAGGCACAGUUACAUCGCCUCGUCAUAUAUUGUGGAUUAACACUAUGAAAAUUGAAGAAAACAUCACAAACUCCAGUUAUUCAUAGGGAACGCAGAGAACUCCGCUUCAAGACACAGGUAAAUAUAUCAAGCUUCGCCAUCAUCACUGCAAACCAUCAAUACCUGCAAUCCUCCAACUCAGAAUUCAUUUACGGAACAUUAAAAUACUAACACAGUUCUUCGUUUCGGAUCUGUAAGAGCUUUAAUGCAGUUUAAUAAAUGUGUUACAACUGCACUUUGUUGUAAUUUGAAUAUGAACACCCAUAAACAAUGUAGCU